CGCACUUCACAGAGGAUUUAUUCCUAUUGUAAACGACAGUCUGUGGUCAAUCUUGGUUUAGUUACAAAAAAUCUUUGCUAUAGUCUAGGACCUCUACUCUAGGUUAGAAACUUCGACGUGACAUGAUGAUCACUCUGAACUCCACUUCUUCAAGGAAAUGAUCAAUGUCCGGAUGAGCGUGACAGAAGAUCCCACCGCACCAGGACCAAACAGCGUGCCCAGGAGGAGAUGGCAUCCUGGUCCUUGGAGGAGAUCGAGGAGAGAAUAUCCUGGACUUGGAGGAGGUCUUGACAAGACACAAAAGCCUGCCGUGGAAACAGAUGACAGGAAAGAAGGGAGGACAGCUGCGACGCCGGGGUUCGCGGCCACAGAGUCUGCAGCAUAUUGAGUCACAUAAGGAAUUGCAGUAGGACUACUUGUGCAACGCACUGAACUAUGCAUGCAGCCAGUGGUGACCCGUCAUUCAAGGCAGGUGUUUAGCAAAAAAAAUUAAACAUUUUGUUCCUGUUUUGCAUGUUAUUUUGACAUUAAUACGUGUCUCACAUAUCAGUUUGCAAACAAUAAAAAAC
Oncorhynchus tshawytscha (Chinook salmon) is the source of this 569-nucleotide long non-coding RNA. RefSeq lists it as uncharacterized. The record is from RefSeq and is a predicted model, not a curated record. NCBI's taxonomy places the organism in Eukaryota, Metazoa, Chordata, Actinopteri, Salmoniformes, Salmonidae. The transcript has 3 exons.